ACGAACGCUGGCGGCGUGCUUAACACAUGCAAGUCGAACGGAAAGGCCCUGCUUUUGUGGGGUGCUCGAGUGGCGAACGGGUGAGUAACACGUGAGUAACCUGCCCUUGACUUUGGGAUAACUUCAGGAAACUGGGGCUACUACCGGAUAGGAGCUCCUGCUGCAUGGUGGGGGUUGGAAAGUUUCGGCGGUUGGGGAUGGACUCGCGGCUUAUCAGCUGGUUGGUGGGGUAGUGGCUUACCAAGGCUUUGACGGGUAGCCGGCCUGAGAGGGUGACCGGCCACAUUGGGACUGAGAUACGGCCCAGACUCCUACGGGAGGCAGCAGUGGGGAAUAUUGCACAAUGGGCGGAAGCCUGAUGCAGCAACGCCGCGUGCGGGAUGACGGCCUUCGGGUUGUAAACCGCUUUCGCCUGUGACGAAGCGUGAGUGACGGUAAUGGGUAAAGAAGCACCGGCUAACUACGUG
RNAcentral lists this ribosomal RNA (467 nucleotides) under uncultured bacterium. Its description in RNAcentral is "partial 16S ribosomal RNA". It matches the Rfam family "Bacterial small subunit ribosomal RNA", at positions 29 to 507 of the family's 1533-position model. The record is from RNAcentral.